CACGUAGGGGGCAAGCGUUUUCCGGAAUUACUGGGCGUAAAGCGCGCGUAGGCGGCCUAAUAAGUCAGGGGUGAAAACCGGCGGCUCAACCGCAGGCUGGCGUCUGAAACUGUAAGGCUUGAGGACCAGAGAGGGGAGUGGAAUUCCCGGUGUAGCGGGGAAAUGCGUAGAUAUUGGGAGGAACACCGGUGGCGAAGGCGGCCCCCUGGCUGGCUACUGACGCUGAGACGCGAAAUCGUGGGGAGCAAACAGG
This 253-nucleotide ribosomal RNA is filed under the name uncultured bacterium. RNAcentral describes it as "partial 16S ribosomal RNA". It matches the Rfam family "Bacterial small subunit ribosomal RNA", at positions 524 to 776 of the family's 1533-position model. The record is from RNAcentral.